Molecule: ribosomal RNA, 390 nt
Filed under: uncultured bacterium
Lineage: Bacteria
Description: bacterial SSU rRNA
Rfam family: Bacterial small subunit ribosomal RNA
Source: RNAcentral
GACGAACGCUGGCGGCGUGCUUAACACAUGCAGGUCGAGCGGUAAGGCCCUUUCGGGGGUACACGAGCGGCGAACGGGUGAGUAACACGUGGGUGACCUGCCCUCAGCUCUGGGAUAAGCCUGGGAAACCGGGUCUAAUACCGGAUAUGACUCCAUGACGCAUGUUGUGGGGUGGAAAGCCUUGUGCGGCUGAGGAUGGGCCCGCGGCCUAUCAGCUUGUUGGUGGGGUGAUGGCCUACCAAGGCGACGACGGGUAGCCGGCCUGAGAGGGCGACCGGCCACACUGGGACUGAGACACGGCCCAGACUCCUACGGGAGGCAGCAGUGGGGAAUCUUGCGCAAUGGGCGAAAGCCUGACGCAGCGACGCCGCGUGAGGGAUGACGGCCUGG